CCUACGGGUGGCAGCAGUGAGGAAUAUUGGUCAAUGGACGAGAGUCUGAACCAGCCAAGUAGCGUGAAGGAUGACUGCCCUAUGGGUUGUAAACUUCUUUUAUAUGGGAAUAAAAUGUUCCACGUGUGGGAUUUUGUAUGUACCAUAUGAAUAAGGAUAGGCUAACUCUGUGCCAGCAGCCGCGGUAAUACGGAGGAUCCGAGCGUUAUCCGGAUUUAUUGGGUUUAAAGGGAGCGUAGGUUGAUUGUUAAGUCAGUUGUGAAAGUUUGCGGCUCAACCGUAAAAUUGCAGUUGAAACUGGCAGUCUUGAGUACAGUAGAGGUGGGCGGAAUUCGUGGUGUAGCGGUGAAAUGCUUAGAUAUCACGAAGAACUCCGAUUGCGAAGGCAGUUCACUGGACUGCAACUGACACUGAGGCUCGAAAGUGUGGGUAUCAAACAGGAUUAGAUACCCCAGUAGUC
This 460-nucleotide ribosomal RNA is filed under the name uncultured bacterium. Its description in RNAcentral is "partial 16S ribosomal RNA". It matches the Rfam family "Bacterial small subunit ribosomal RNA", at positions 338 to 795 of the family's 1533-position model. The record is from RNAcentral.